UCAAGUUUUACAAAACCUUUAUUUAGUUUUGGAUAACCCAUGGAUAUCCUUACUUAGCCGUCGUGCUAAUUGCACUUCAAUGUGUUUCUGUUAACAGAUGUUAUCUAGUGUGAUGAGGAUUACACGGGGUUCUUGAUAGGCGAAGACCCCUACGUUCCUGGCUACUCUCCUGAUCCUCCGGCUCAUCCCUCUCCGAGAGAUAUCAGGGAAAUCAUGAAGACAAGGAGGAUCAUGAAGGGACAAGAACAAAAAUGAGAAGAUGGAUGAUGAUGAAUUAAAGUGAAGGACAAAAGCAAAGAAGAUUUGGUCCAUUUUCAUCAUUAAAGAUCAGGCAAUAAUGGAAUCAAAGAGUGAUAUUUUGAAUGGUGAUUGAUCAUAUGGAUAAACCAAAGCAAAAGUGGAACAAGUGUCUAAAAUCUGAAAUUUCCGCACAAGUUGUCCACUGUUCGGUAUUUUUACCAUAUCUCAGCAUAGGAAUAUCCAAAUUGAGUGAUCUUUGCACCGUUGGAAAGAAGACUUCAAGGGCUACAACUUUACCAGAAAUACAAAAUUCAUAAUUCUGAACGGAGAAUGGAGAAAAACAGCCCGGAAGAUGAAGCUGCGUGCAGUGAUGUCAUUGCUUGCGAAAUUUUCCAUCUUCUUUCUCAUUAUGAUAUGUGAGGUCAUGGCAUAUGUAAUUCCCCAUUUCCAAAUUCAGAUGGAAUGUGAGGUCAUUGCAUAUGUAAUUGUCCAUCUUUGCUCCCUUUUGAUGCCUAUAUAAAGCCUUGUAACUCUCAAACUUCAACACACCAUUCCUCACCAAUUCCUUCUAUCUCCUCUCAUUCUAGCUUUCAUAUCUUAGUUUUAGUGUUGUGUUUUUCUUCAAGCAAGAGUGUAGGAGGAAACUCCAAGAGUUUGGUCUUCAAUCCAUAAGUUUUCUUGUUCCCUUUA
Molecule: long non-coding RNA, 930 nt
Organism: Ipomoea triloba (trilobed morning glory)
Lineage: Eukaryota; Viridiplantae; Streptophyta; Magnoliopsida; Solanales; Convolvulaceae
Exons: 2
Source: RefSeq, a predicted model, not a curated record